AGAGUUUGAUCAUGGCUCAGAAUGAACGUUGGCGGCGUGGAUUAGGCAUGCGAGUCGUGCGAGAACCGUAGCAAUACGGGGACAGCGGCGAAAGGGAGAGGAACACGUGGAUACCUACCCUCAGGUUCAGGAUAGCUAUGGGAAACUAUAGGUAAUACUGAAUAAUAUCUCCGGAUCAAAGGUGUGAUUCCGCCGGAGGAGGGGUCCGCGUCCUAUUAGCUAGUUGGUGAGGUAAUGGCUCACCAAGGCGAAGAUGGGUACGGGAUGUGAGAACAUGAUCCCGCUCAUUGGGACUGAGACACUGCCCAGACACCUACGGGUGGCUGCAGUCGAGAAUCUUCGGCAAUGGGGGAAACCCUGACCGAGCGACGCCGCGUGUGAGAUGAAGGCCUUCGGGUUGUAAAUCACUGUCGUAGAGGAGGGAGUGUAGGUGGGUUCUCCCACUUAUUUGACCUAUUCUAGGAGGAAGGACGGGCUAAGUUCGUG
This 486-nucleotide ribosomal RNA is filed under the name uncultured bacterium. RNAcentral's name for it is "bacterial SSU rRNA". It matches the Rfam family "Bacterial small subunit ribosomal RNA", at positions 8 to 507 of the family's 1533-position model. The record is from RNAcentral.